This 650-nucleotide long non-coding RNA is filed under the name Homo sapiens (human). RNAcentral describes it as "HSALNT0347837". Lineage: Eukaryota; Metazoa; Chordata; Mammalia; Primates; Hominidae. The record is from RNAcentral.
CCUCCCAAAGUGCUGGGAUUACAGGCGUGAACCAAGGCGCCCGGCCGGAGUAGGAAUUUUAUGGGUUAUAAACUAAGGAUAUGGAGGUCGACUUGAGGAAGAAACCUGGAGUAUAAAAAUUCAGUUUGGAAAAAGACGUUUUGUCUCUUAAACUGAAGCACAUUCCUGCCAUUCAUUCGGACCAUACGAAGAUAAAACUAAAAACUUUUCUCUAAAGCUCCUGGUGAUGGUAGUUGAGUCAAUGAGCCACCAGCAACAACAAAGGACAAAAAGGUGUGUUGCUGGCAAUAUGUGGCCCCAGGGGAGAGGCAAAAGUGGAGGUUCCCGAGUCAUCUGAGAUUUGUUGCCUCGGAACAGGAUCCACAGCUCAAUAAUAGUCACUGUACUGUCAUUGUUUAUUUGAAAUCUAAAGGUGUAAUGCAAGAAUAUGCAAGACCACAGGGACUGGAGACACAAAGAGCAUCUGAAGAGAGCUUGAAUGACUCCCAACAGUUCCAGUCUCAAAGUUACCAUGUGCAGCACAGUCAGGGCAGCAUGUGAGAAGAACAACAAGAAAGCUGGGGUCUGCCAGAGAAGACGGAAGCCCUCACAUUAAACUGAGUCAGCUGGCAUCUUGAUCUUGGACUUUCAAAUCUCCAGAACUGUGAGAA